AAGAACGGUCAAAACUCUCGGCCAUGCGUGCAUCGGUGAUGAUCGUGGCCCAUCUCCGGUGCAGGACUGGGUCAGCUUUGCUAAUCGUGUCGUCGGCGCAUUGCCGCCGCCUCGUUCUUCGCCAUAUAGUUGAGUGACGGAAAAUUCGAGUGGCCUGAUGAAUAGCAAACCCGGAAAACUCUGGCCUAAUAGAUAAGUUUGUGGUGACAGAAUUAACUUUCCCGUAGAGCUCUCGCGACCGCGCCGUCCCCCGCGGGCGGCCGGGCCACGCUCCCCUGCCUUCUUCCCCAACCACCGCCCCCACUCUCCCUCCUCCCUCCGUCGCCGACGUGCGUCGUCCGACUCGGCCCAGGUGGCGCCGCCGGCGGCGGCGCGCUGCUUUUCCCCUCCCGGUGACGUUCCUACGCGGGGCGGAGCGACGUUGGGCGGUGUCCCCAGGGCACAGUGGUUCGGCGCGGCGACAGGGUGACCUGGCACUUGUGCCGGGGGGUUGAUUGCGCGGCGGCGCCAUUGUUAGCGGCGGAUCUUCGCGGCUGCGGGGUGGCGGCGCCCGCUCGGCCAGAUCUGGGCCCUCUCGGGCCCCAUCUGGGUUGGGGCGGGCCGGCGGCUUCUUCUUCGGAGGCGGGGAUGGGGCGUAGGGAAGCUGGGUGGCGGCGGCGUCGCUGCCGACUGGCUGCAGCGGGGUGGCAGCGACUUUGCGGGCCCGAGAUGGGCUCGGACGGGCCCGGGUGGCCUGGUGUGCCCCUGCUGCCGCGUCCGGCCGGCCACCGCGACGGUGCGGGAAGCACAGGCAUCCCACACGACAGCGGGGGAGCAGAGUGGCGACAGAAUUCAUCGUGAGCCAGAUUGAUGUAGCGCCUCUUCAAUCUUUCCAGCUGAAACCAGGAACUGGGAACAACCUUGUGCCGACCGUGACAUCCUUGUCUUGGGAGACAUCCACCACCUGGACCCCGGCAUCAGCAGCGAUGGAGAGAACACAAAACACAUCAUGCGACAGGUGCAACACGCGCUGAUUGAGGAUCCGCAGGCAACGUAGCUCAGCAAUCCAUUCGGGAACUAAAUAUGAUGCACUGUCCUGAAUUUUCUUUACGACGACGGUUGUUGUCGUUUGUAUCUUAACACCAAAAUGGUAGAGGCACUGUCCUCAACUUUUAGGAUACCAGCUGUUAUUUGUAUCUUUGAGUGGCUAAUUUCAAACUGAAAACGGGAUUGUUACCUGCCCAUAUAUCUUUGUCCCCAUUUUAGAAGUAGA
Molecule: long non-coding RNA, 1252 nt
Organism: Triticum aestivum (bread wheat)
Lineage: Eukaryota; Viridiplantae; Streptophyta; Magnoliopsida; Poales; Poaceae
Exons: 3
Source: RefSeq, a predicted model, not a curated record